This 835-nucleotide ribosomal RNA is filed under the name uncultured bacterium. RNAcentral's name for it is "bacterial SSU rRNA". It matches the Rfam family "Bacterial small subunit ribosomal RNA", at positions 57 to 915 of the family's 1533-position model. The record is from RNAcentral.
GCAAGUCGCACGGGAGCCGCAAGGCUCUAGUGGCGCAAGGGUGAGUAAUGUAUCGCUAACGUACCCUGGACACUGGGAUAGCUGCCCGAAAGGGCAGGUAAUACCAGAUGAAAUAUCCAUCUCGCAUGAGUGUGGAUCUCAAAGGAGCAAUCCGGUCUGGGCGCGGGCGAUAUCGUAUCAGCUAGUUGGUGAGGUAACGGCUCACCAAGGCGACGACGCGUAGCCGGACUGAGAGGUCGGUCGGCCACAUCGGGACUGAGACACUGCCCGGACUCCUACGGGGGGCUGCAGUAACGAAUCUUCCCCAAUGGGCGCAAGCCUGAGGGAGCGACGCCGCGUGGAGGAUGAAGUCCUUCGGGAUGUAAACUCCUGUCAGGGGUUACCAAGAUACUGAGGAGCCCCAAAGGAAGAGGCGGCUAACUCUGUGCCAGCAGCCGCGGUAAGACAGAGGCCUCGAGCGUUAGGCGGAAUCACUGGGCUUAAAGCGUGUGUAGGCGGAUCGUUAAGUGCCUUGUGAAAUCCCACGGCUUAACUGUGGAACGGCUGGGCAUACUGGCGGUCUUGAGCCAUCUAGGGGCGACUGGAACAAACGGUGGAGCGGUGAAAUGCGUAGAUAUCGUUUGGAACGCCAAUGGUGAAAACAGGUCGCUGGGGAUGAGCUGACGCUGAGACACGAAAGCCAGGGGAGCAAACGGGAUUAGAUACCCCGGUAGUCCUGGCCCUAAACGAUGUCCACUAGAUCGCAGGACCUCUGACGGUUUUGCGGUCGAAGCAAAAGUGCUAAGUGGACCCCCUGGGAAGUACGGUCGCAAGGCUAAAACUCAAGGAAUUGACG